This 460-nucleotide ribosomal RNA is filed under the name uncultured bacterium. RNAcentral's name for it is "partial 16S ribosomal RNA". It matches the Rfam family "Bacterial small subunit ribosomal RNA", at positions 338 to 795 of the family's 1533-position model. The record is from RNAcentral.
CCUACGGGUGGCAGCAGUGAGGAAUAUUGGUCAAUGGACGAGAGUCUGAACCAGCCAAGUAGCGUGAAGGAUGACUGCCCCAUGGGUUGUAAACUUCUUUUAUAAAGGAAUAAAACGAGGCACGUGUGCCUUUUUGCAUGUACUUUAUGAAUAAGGAUCGGCUAACUCCGUGCAAGCAGCCGCGGUAAUACGGAGGAGCCGAGCGUUAUCCGGAUUUAUUGGGUUUAAAGGGAGCGUAGAUGGGUUGUUAAGUCAGUUGUGAAAGUUUGCGGCUCAACCGUAAGAUUGCAAUUGAUACUGGCAGGCUGGAGUACAGUUGAGGUAGGCGGAAUUCGUGGUGUAGCGGUGAAAUGCGUAGAUAUCACGAAGAACCCCGAUUGCGGAGGCAGCUUACUAAACUGUAACUGACAUUGAUGCUCGAAAGUGUGGGUAUCAAACAGGAUUAGAUACCCUUGUAGUC